Molecule: ribosomal RNA, 447 nt
Filed under: uncultured Actinomycetes bacterium
Lineage: Bacteria; Bacillati; Actinomycetota; Actinomycetes
Description: bacterial SSU rRNA
Rfam family: Bacterial small subunit ribosomal RNA
Source: RNAcentral
ACUCCUACGGGAGGCAGCAGUGGGGAAUAUUGCGCAAUGGGCGAAAGCCUGACGCAGCGACGCCGCGUGGGGGAUGACGGCCUUCGGGUUGUAAACCUCUUUCGACCGGGACGAAGGGUAACUGACGGUACCGGUAGAAGAAGCACCGGCCAACUACGUGCCAGCAGCCGCGGUAAUACGUAGGGUGCGAGCGUUGUCCGGAAUUAUUGGGCGUAAAGAGCUCGUAGGCGGUGUGUCACGUCGGUCGUGAAAACUUGGGGCUUAACCCUGAGCGUGCGGUCGAUACGGGCAUCACUUGAGUUCGGCAGGGGAGACUGGAAUUCCUGGUGUAGCGGUGAAAUGCGCAGAUAUCAGGAGGAACACCGGUGGCGAAGGCGGGUCUCUGGGCCGACACUGACGCUGAGACGCGAAAGCGUGGGGAGCGAACAGGAUUAGAUACCCUGGUAG